This 456-nucleotide ribosomal RNA is filed under the name uncultured bacterium. RNAcentral's name for it is "bacterial SSU rRNA". It matches the Rfam family "Bacterial small subunit ribosomal RNA", at positions 340 to 786 of the family's 1533-position model. The record is from RNAcentral.
UACGGAAGGCAGCAGGGAAUCUUCCGCAAUGGGCGAAAGCCUGACGGAGCAACGCCGCGUGAGUGAAGAAGGUCUUCGGAUCGUAAAACUCUGUUAUUAGGGAAGACAAAUGUGUAAGUAACUAUGCACGUCUUGACGGUACCUAAUCAGAAAGCCACGGCUAACUACGUGCCAGCAGCCGCGGGUAAUACGUAGGUGGCAAGCGUUAUCCGGGAAUUAUUGGGCGUAAAGCGCGCGUAGGCGGUUUUUUUAAAGUCUGAUGUGAAAGCCCACGGCUCAAACCGUGGAGGGUCAUUGGAAACUGGAAACUUGAGUGCAGAAGAGGAAAGUGGAAUUCCAUGUGUAGCGGUGAAAUGCGCAGAGAUAUGGAGGAACACCAGUGGCGAAGGCGACUUUCUGGUCUGUAACUGACGCUGAUGUGCGAAACGCGUGGGGAUCAAACGAGGAUUAGAUACC